RNA transcript from Betta splendens (Siamese fighting fish), 4029 nucleotides. It is a transcript of the gene named bromodomain, testis-specific, with no coding region annotated. NCBI's taxonomy places the organism in Eukaryota, Metazoa, Chordata, Actinopteri, Anabantiformes, Osphronemidae. The transcript has 20 exons. The record is from RefSeq and is a predicted model, not a curated record.
UAUUCCUUGAAACCGAGUCGCCAUUUUGUUUGGAAAAACCUGACAUUAUUUACCUAGUUGUGCUUUAAAACAUUAACCUCCGCUAGUAAUUUGCAAGGUAAACUGGGGUUCGUAUUUUUUGCAAAAACGAAAUACUUUCAGGUACCUGUCUGUGCAUAUAAGCACAUCCAUACGAGUAAGUAGCGCCUAACCAAUCAGUUGUGCAGCCGUGAGCUGAGGGGUAUAAAAUUGAGGCUGUUGCCGUAGAGACGUCUGCCACAGAAGAGUUGAACACAUGAGCGCGAGGAAAGCGAGUGAUGAGCAUUAAGUCUCAACUAAACAAACUCUGGCCCUCCUUUCACUUGGCCUUUGGACAGCACAAUGUGUGACAUGAAGGCCUAUCCCACGAGUGGAAAUCCACUACCACCAGAGGUCACAAAUACCAAAAGGCCUGGACGUGUAACCAACCAGCUACAGUAUUUGGAGAAGGUUGUGAUCAAAGCUUUAUGGAGGCAUCAUUUUUCAUGGCCCUUCCAUCAGCCUGUUGAUGCAGUUGCACUUCGCCUCCCUGAUUAUUAUACAAUCAUUACAAAACCUAUGGACCUUGGCACAAUUAAGAAGCGUCUUCAGAACAAAUAUUACUUCCAGGCACUCGAGUGCAUACAAGAUUUCAACACUAUGUUCACUAACUGCUAUGUGUACAAUCGGCCUGGAGAUGACAUUGUUUUUAUGGCUCAGACAUUGGAGAAGGUUUUUUUGCACAAAGUGUCUCAAAUGCCUAAAGAUGAAUAUGAAGUGGAAAGCGUUACGACAAAAGAACAAGUAAAGGAAAAAAAGACAAACUCAGGUGCCUUAAAUCAGACUCUAGUGUCUGAGGUUGUUCUCCAGCAGACAGUAACAGUCAUUCCUCCCGAUAUGUCUCAGUUCAAUCAACCAUUACAGCUUUCAGCAACAAUUGAUGCAACAAUAAAAAAAGGUUUUAAGAGGAAAGCCGACUCCACAACCUCAAUCACCACAGCAAUCAUGUCUCCUGUUGAACGUUCGGCGCCUUCUACAUUAUUAUUAAGGAGGGGCAGUGGAAGGCCCAUCAACCCUCCUAGGAAAGAUUUACCUGCUUUUGACGACAAGAAGGUCAGACUGUCUCAUCAGCUCAGGUAUUGCAAUGACAUCCUAAAGGAGAUGCUCUCAAAGAGGCACUGUGCAUAUGCAUGGCCCUUUUACACCCCCGUCGAUGCAGCGGCUUUGGGCUUACAUGACUACCAUAAUAUCAUCCAGCAGCCUAUGGACCUGAGCACCAUCAGGAACAAAAUGGAUCAACGAGAGUAUGCAAAUGCCAGAGAAUUUGCUGCAGAUGUCCGACUGAUGUUCUCAAACUGUUACAAAUAUAAUCCACCCGCACAUGAAGUGGUCUACAUGGCAAGGAAACUCCAGGAUGUUUUUGAAGCUCGUUAUCUUAAGAUUCCCCAAGAACCAGAAGGCUGUUCCCUGUCUCACCUGUCAACCUCAGCAAGUUCUAAAAGUGAUAGCUCCUCCGAGGCAGAAAACUCAUCAGAAGAGGUGGCCAGUCAGCUGGCCAACCUGGAAGAGAGGUUAAAAGCUGUCCGUGAUCAGCUGAAGAAACUCUCCCAGGACCCCUUAAAGAAACCAAAAAAAAAGGACAAGUCAAAAAAGAACAAGUGUAAAAUAAAGCAUAUGGCUCGAUCAAAGCAGAAAUCGGCAAAAUAUAAGGCUGUUGUAGAAAAACCCACCAAAGUCACAAGCUCUUCUUUGCAUGACAGCCAACAUGAUUUUCACAAAGUGCCCAUAAAAUGGAGGGAUGAAGGCUCAUCAAUACCAUUGACUUACCAGGAGAAGAAACAGUUGAAACAGGACAUUGACAAACUGCCCGGUUACAAACUGGGCAAGUUAGUGAGCAUCAUUAAAGCCAGGGAGUCUUGUCUGCAAGGUUCUACUCUGGAGGAGGUUGAGGUUGACUUUGAAAUACUCAAGACUUCUACACUGAGAAUCCUUCAAAGGUUUGUUGUAGCAAGUCUGAAAAAAAGCGGCAAGAGUGACAAGAAAAAGUUGGUGAAGCCCACAAGAGGAAUUCAGGCAGGGUCACUGAAGGUUGCGGGGAAAUGUCAGGCUGUCAACAAAGAGCAAAAUUUGAUUAGGAAAAAAAAGCAAGUUGCUAAAGUCAAGGCAUCUCCUGACUUUAUCUUCCUACCGUGCCCCAGUGAAAGCAGCAGCAGCAGCAGCUGGUCCUCAAGCUCCAAAUGCAGCAGUAGCAGUCGUUCCAGAUUUUCUGACAGCAGUGGCUCUGAAUCAGUGCCUACAAUAAAAAAGAAAAGUGAAGGCUCGUGCCAGAAAGCAAAGAAAAAGCCACUGGUCAGUCAUGCUGAAUGUGGAAAGCAGGCAUCCGUGAGUAAAGAUUUGGUGAAAGCCUCGGUCCAGACUGUUCAACCACCUUCUGCUGCACAGUCCUCAGCUGCACAAACUAAAGACUAUCCCGUCCACCAAAAUGAGCCAAAUUUAUCACCUCCAGAUUUGUCUGCUCUAUUAUCCCCUAUGGCCUCUCCAGGAGUUCUGCUGGACUGGGCUACUGCCAGAUUUGAGGGCCCAGUGCUGUCCCCCCUGAGAGACAGUCCACUUCUAAGCAGAGAGGAUCUAGAGUCUGUAAUUAUGCCAGACUUGACAUACACUGAUGAUUUCUUGGAUAGUCAGUUGACUGGUGUGCCUCACACUAACCCAGCAAGUAGAUCUGCGGAAGAGGAAAGACCACAAGCUCCCAAAACGAGCAUUGUUUUAAAAAACGCUCAGUCCUGGGCGCGGCUGGUGAGACAAUCAGUCAGUGCAACUGCAAUCAAGUCGUCAAAAGAGAGCUUCCAGCAUUUCCCCUGCCAGCCUCAUGUAAAACAGAACCAAAUGUUAUACCAGAGAACCUUCACUCAGAAGCUAUGCUGGAUGCUUCCAAAGAGCUACAGAAUUCCUAUGAUUACACAGAGCUUCUAACUGCACAGUCGCCACUAGAUGGGGAAAGAGAGAAGGCCCGCAAAAAGGAACAGGAGCGUCGCAGGCAACAGGCUAUGACUGGAAUUGACAUGACUAUGCAACGAGAUAUAAUGGCUAUGUUUGAGCGUAACCUGGACUAAAGUCACCUAGGAUUUACUGGAAUUUGUGCCAAUAACUUUUUGCCAUAACGUGAGGUGCUGUCUCUUUCUGGGGACACAGAGGUGUUCCUGAGACAUUCAUGUUAUUAGCGACAUGCCUUCAAGUCUGAAAAAUAUCUGCACUCUGUGAUUGGGGUGAAGCACUAGUAUUUUCACAUUUUAAUGCUACUACGGCUUCCCAUUCUGUCUGUAGCUAACUAGGGCCUACAUACGCUGCAGUUGAAAUACCUCGUAAUUGUAUUGUUUGCUGAAAUGUGCAGUGUUUUUUUCCUGUGCUUGAUAUUCCUGGCAAUGACCCCACACUUCACAAAAUUACUGCACGUAAAAGACCAUAUAAUAUUUGAAACAGGGAUUGAAGUUCAAUUUCACUAACGAUUCCAGUGGUGGAUUGUAUUGUAUUAAUAAUCUCAGUUCUUUGUUAACUCGACAACAGUACUUGAAAAUACUAAACCUUGUGUUAACUGAAUAUGCACUUUGUUGUUCAUGCAGUUCUGGCUGUUCCAAAAUUAUUUUCAGACAUUAUCAGCAUAUUUUUGUAUGUUACAGUUAGUAUGUUUCUUCUUUUUUUACUUAAUAUUAAAGCUGUUUUCAUGACGCAAUCUACAUCACUUCAUCACAUGCAUGGAGUGCAAGUGCUUCACUCCACUACAACAUACUGUACAAUUUGCUUUACAGUAGGCCUGUUUGAGUCUGCAGUUUUUCUCUUUUCCACUACUGCCAUGCUUUUGUAAUACAUGUUGAAAACCUUUCCUGAGAAGUGAUCAUCUGGAUUGCAACAUAUGUUGGGUCAAAGGUUGCUUUUACCUCCAGCCUAGCGGAGGCAGAGCUAAUGAGAGGAAACUUGGUUUCCUCUUAAGCUUAGGCUUUUAAUAGCCUGCAAUAAAAUAUAAUUUCAAAGCUU